AAAAUGCGAUAAGUAGUGUGAAUUGCAGAAUUCAGUGAAUCAUCGAAUCUUUGAACGCACAUUGCGCCCCUCGGUAUUCCGUGGGGCAUGCCUGUUCGAGCGUCAUCUACACCCUCAAGCUCUGCUUGGUGUUGGGCGUCUGUCCCGCCUCCGCGCGCGGACUCGCCCCAAAUGCAUUGGCAGCGGUUCCUUGCCCCCCUCUUUGCGCAGCACAUUGCCAUUCGAGGCGGCGGCGGCCCGCGUCCAACAAGCUCAACCCCCCCGUCUUUGACCUCGGAUCAGGUAGGGAUACCCGCUGAACUUAAGC
Molecule: unclassified non-coding RNA, 307 nt
Filed under: plant metagenome
Description: partial contains 5.8S ribosomal RNA, internal transcribed spacer 2, and large subunit ribosomal RNA
Rfam family: 5.8S ribosomal RNA (bases 1-105)
Source: RNAcentral